Paenibacillus sp. MAEPY2 is the source of this 110-nucleotide non-coding RNA. The record is from Rfam. NCBI's taxonomy places the organism in Bacteria, Bacillati, Bacillota, Bacilli, Caryophanales, Paenibacillaceae.
UAUGAACACUAGGGGGGCCGCACGAUGCGGCUGAGAUGGAAGAAUGCGAUUCCGGACCCUUUGCACCUGAUCUGGAUCAUACCAGCGUAGGGAAGUGGCGCGUUUCAGCU